This 511-nucleotide ribosomal RNA is filed under the name uncultured bacterium. Its description in RNAcentral is "bacterial SSU rRNA". It matches the Rfam family "Bacterial small subunit ribosomal RNA", at positions 29 to 526 of the family's 1533-position model. The record is from RNAcentral.
AUUGAACGCUGGCGGCAGGCCUAACACAUGCAAGUCGAGCGGCAGCGGGGAAGUAGCUUGCUACUUUUGCCGGCGAGCGGCGGACGGGUGAGUAAUGCCUGGGGAUCUGCCCAGUCGAGGGGGAUAACUACUGGAAACGGUAGCUAAUACCGCAUACGCCCUACGGGGGAAAGCAGGGGACCUUCGGGCCUUGCGCGAUUGGAUGAACCCAGGUGGGAUUAGCUAGUUGGUGAGGUAAUGGCUCACCAAGGCGACGAUCCCUAGCUGGUCUGAGAGGAUGAUCAGCCACACUGGAACUGAGACACGGUCCAGACUCCUACGGGAGGCAGCAGUGGGGAAUAUUGCACAAUGGGGGAAACCCUGAUGCAGCCAUGCCGCGUGUGUGAAGAAGGCCUUCGGGUUGUAAAGCACUUUCAGCGAGGAGGAAAGGUUGGUAGCUAAUAACUGCCAGCUGUGACGUUACUCGCAGAAGAAGCACCGGCUAACUCCGUGCCAGCCGCCGCCGUAAAAC